GAGCCUGCAGAGGUGAGAGUGUAGCCAUGUGUAAAAGGCAACUUUGUUAGAAAGCUGAGGGAAGGCAGAGAGGGGAAUCAGAAUUGAAAAAGAAGUGUUAGAGCUCCUCAACACUCAUUUGGUGCACUCAGGAGCAAAAUGAAUGCUAAAUUAAAGGCCAUUCCAGAGGCUCAGCCCUUGACUGGGGACCAGGAGUAUCCAGGUAUUUAAAGCUUGCCAUCAAAGCAAGAAGGCUGUCAGCAGAAACAUUGCAACAUACACAUUUACAGUCUGGAAAUCAAAGCUGAAAUGUUCAUUUUGGGCAUCUCCAGAACUCUUAGGAGCAGUGGCUGUGCAGCCUGGCAAGGACAAACACUGCCUGGAACGUGGAGCAGCAAUGUGGAGAGCAGAAAGAGAACUCGCCAGGAUGCCCGGUCACGUCUGGGCAGGGAAGGAAACUGAAAAUGCAGCUUUUGUGCCGAGCAGUGUUUAUUGACACAAGCUGCUGGGAAGUGCCUGAGCACGAGUCCCAGGCACAAGGAUCGGCCUUUCCCAGGAGACGGAGGCAAGAACGCGGAGGCCCCGGGACAGCUCCGCUCGGCUGAGCACCCCCGACCCCCCCGGGAUGCAAAGUUCGCUCACCUCGGCUGCUGCCAUCGCGGCUGUGCUGGCUCCGUGUGCGCCGCGGGGCAGCAGCGGGGCGGGGACACUGCGGGGCGGCUCCGGGCACGGUCCCGGUCCUGGUCACAGUCACGACUUCGAUACCGGAUCCACUCCCGGUACUGAUCCCAACUCCAAUCCUGGUCCCCGUCCCAGCUCCGGUCCCGAUCCCGAUCCUGGUCACAGUCACGAUCCAAACUCCGGUCCCAGUCCCAGCUCGGGUCCCGAUCGCAGCUCCAAUCUCGGUGCCGAUCCCAGCUGGAUUCCUGGUCCCGAUCCCAGCCCCGGUCCCGAUCCCAGCUGCAAUCCUGUUCCCGGUCCCGGUCCCAGCUCCAAUCCCGCCGCGCUCCCGGCGCUCCCGCUCCUGGUCCCGCCCGCCGGGGCGGGGAUUCCCCAGGCCAGCCCCGCUCCUGGUCCUGUGCAGUGGCACGGCUUGUCCCUGUGCCUCACAGCAUACUCAGAAAUGGCAUCCCCCUUUUCCUGUCCCCUUUCGGAGCUUGCUGUCCUUUAACCAGCCUUGGUGUCAGAGAGCUGGGAAGGAACCAAAUCCAGGUCCUCGGGUCCUUGUCUGGAGCAGCAGGACACUGCCGGUGACACCCUGCUGCCUCUGGUGGCCCCACAAGGUCCUUUCGCAGCUGCAUUUCCCGUGUAGUGCCCUCAGUAUCCAUCUAGAACAAGGCUCAGACUCUCUAUGUAGACACCAAUUAAUUCACUGCUUCUCAAACAUUUCUUUU
Molecule: long non-coding RNA, 1373 nt
Filed under: Serinus canaria (Common canary)
Lineage: Eukaryota; Metazoa; Chordata; Aves; Passeriformes; Fringillidae
Description: lncRNA (ENSSCAG00000000406.1)
Source: RNAcentral